CGGGGGAGGAAGCUUGCUUUCUCCUGCCGGCGACCGGCGCACGGGUGAGUAACACGUAUGCAACCUGGCCGUCACAGGUGGAUAACCGGAAGAAAUUCCGACUAAUACAGCAUAACACUCCUGAGGGACAUCCUUCGGGAGUCAAAGGAGGCGACUCCGGUGACGGAUGGGCAUGCGGCGCAUUAGGUAGUUGGUAGGGUAACGGCCUACCAAGCCGACGAUGCGUAGGGGUUCUGAGAGGAAGGUCCCCCACAUUGGAACUGAGACACGGUCCAAACUCCUACGGGAGGCAGCAGUGAGGAAUAUUGGUCAAUGGCCGGAAGGCUGAACCAGCCAAGUCGCGUGAGGGAAUAAGGCCCUAUGGGUCGUAAACCUCUUUUGUCAGGGAGCAAAGGCGUCCACGUGUGGACGAGAGGAGAGUACCUGAAGAAAAAGCAUCGGCUAACUCCGUGCCAGCAGCCGCGGUAAUACGGAGGAUGCGAGCGUUAUCCGGAUUUAUUGGGUUUAAAGGGUGCGUAGGCGGAGUGUCAAGUCAGCGGUAAAAUUUCGGGGCUCAACCCCGUCGUGCCGUUGAAACUGACGCCCUUGAGUGAGUGAGAAGUAAGCGGAAUGCGUGGUGUAGCGGUGAAAUGCAUAGAUAUCACGCAGAACUCCGAUUGCGAAGGCAGCAUACCGGCGCCCGACUGACGCUGAGGCACGAAAGCGUGGGUAUCGAACA
RNAcentral lists this ribosomal RNA (718 nucleotides) under uncultured bacterium. Its description in RNAcentral is "bacterial SSU rRNA". It matches the Rfam family "Bacterial small subunit ribosomal RNA", at positions 65 to 774 of the family's 1533-position model. The record is from RNAcentral.